This 495-nucleotide ribosomal RNA is filed under the name uncultured bacterium. Its description in RNAcentral is "partial 16S ribosomal RNA". It matches the Rfam family "Bacterial small subunit ribosomal RNA", at positions 28 to 507 of the family's 1533-position model. The record is from RNAcentral.
GACGAACGCUGGCGGCGUGCCUAAUACAUGCAAGUAGAACGCUGAAGGAGGAGCUUGCUCUUCUGGAUGAGUUGCGAACGGGUGAGUAACGCGUAGGUAACCUGCCUGGUAGCGGGGGAUAACUAUUGGAAACGAUAGCUAAUACCGCAUAACAGUAGAUGUUGCAUGACAUUUGCUUAAAAGGUGCACUUGCACCACUACCAGAUGGACCUGCGUUGUAUUAGCUAGUUGGUGGGGUAACGGCUCACCAAGGCGACGAUACAUAGCCGACCUGAGAGGGGGAUCGGCCACACUGAGAAUGAGACAAUACCCAGACUCCUACGGGAGGCAGCAGUAGGGAAUCUUCGGCAAUGGACGGAAGUCUGACCGGGCAACGCCGCGUGAGUGAAGAAGGUUUUCGGAUCGUAAAGCUCUGUUGUAAGAGAAGAACGAGUGUGAGAGUGGAAAGUUCACACUGUGACGGUAACUUACCAGAAAGGGACGGCUAACUACGUG